UUCAUUGGCGCGUGGGUGCGUGCAGUAUUUUGGAAGGGGUUUCCUCUCCAGGUGCUGUUGUGCGUUUGCUUGCUGGUGCCCUGUGUUGCGGUGAGACGUCAGAGUCAGUUCGUAUGCUGCGGGAAAUGGCUGUUAGGAAGGUAGGCUGCUUCGGUGGCUGUUAUAUCCUGGCGUGCUAGUCGUCGUGGUUGGGACUGAGGUGCCUACAACGUGCUUUUGAGUCUUUGGGACUCUCGUCUGGUCAUUUGCUCUGACAGCUUGCUGUGUUGGUGAAUGCAUUGGGCGAUUGAGAUCUAUCGUAACUUAUUGCCGUUCGGGACUUUGACGAAAUGGAGCGAUCCGUCCCGUCUUGAAACACGGACCAAGGAGUCUAACAUGUGUGCAAGUGUUAGGGUGUGGAAACCCCAGCGCGAAAUGAAAGUAAAGGGCAGCCUAGCUGCCUGAGGUAGGAAACCUUUGUUUACAGGGGUGGCACUAUCGACCGAUCAUGAGCCUACGUGGCGAAAGAUUUGAGUUUGAGCACAUAUGUUGGUACCCGAAAGAUGGUGAACUAUG
RNAcentral lists this ribosomal RNA (555 nucleotides) under Pythium sp. Its description in RNAcentral is "partial large subunit ribosomal RNA". It matches the Rfam family "Eukaryotic large subunit ribosomal RNA", at positions 439 to 835 of the family's 3401-position model. The record is from RNAcentral. Lineage: Eukaryota; Oomycota; Peronosporomycetes; Pythiales; Pythiaceae.